Molecule: long non-coding RNA, 516 nt
Organism: Dendrobium catenatum
Lineage: Eukaryota; Viridiplantae; Streptophyta; Magnoliopsida; Asparagales; Orchidaceae
Exons: 2
Source: RefSeq, a predicted model, not a curated record
UCAUACGAUGAAAUGCGGGUGCGUCACCCACAAGCUUCUUGUACCGGGCUUGAAAGGACGUGUAAAGCAUUUUCCACUCCGACGGUGCUGCCGCGACAGGUGCCGAUGUAUUCGGGAUAGAUUACUACUUCUUCAGAACGUUGGUCCCAUUCUUCCGUCAAAUCUUCCAUCUAUCUCUUGAUUUUUCAAAGCAAUUAGGUUUCCAAAGUCCACAAAUGAAGGAGUCUCAAUUUAACGCGGCGUGGAAACGAUGCCCCUCGAUACUAGUUACAGUUAGUAAACGGAGAUGGUGGCAAAGAAGAUAAGCAUUGGAGUACCAGCGAAACGCAACAUGUUUGAUGCAAGCUUCAGGGCGUAAGUGGUAGUUUCUUUAUUGUUUUCAAGAUAAAAUAAGCGAAAUGAAGCUGAAGUGUUUGUUUUUCAAUUUUAACAAUUGAAGGGAAGUGCCAUUUUAUCAGAUGGAGCUUAUCGCUUUUAUAAACUUGUACAUUGCGUCUCUUAUAUAACAUUGAUAUU